CUACGGGACGCUGCAGUCGAGAAUCUUUCGCAAUGGGGGAAACCCUGACGACGCGACGCCGCGUGGAGGAUGAAGGUCUUCGGAUUGUAAACUCCUGUCAGCAGGGGAGAACAAGCUGUUCAUUAAUAAUGAAUAGCUUUGACAGUACCUGCAGAGGAAGCCACGGCUAACUCUGUGCCAGCAGCCGCGGUAAUACAGAGGUGGCAAGCGUUGUUCGGAUUUAUUGGGCGUAAAGGGUCCGUAGGCGGCCUAGAAAGUCGGAUGUGAAAUCCCACAGCUUAACUGUGGAACUGCAUUGGAAACUUCUAGGCUCGAGUGUGAUAGGGGUAAAGGGAAUUCCCGGUGUAAGGGUGAAAUCUGCAGAGAUCGGGAGGAACACCAGUCGCGAAGGCGCUUUACUGGAUCACUACUGACGCUGAGGGACGAAAGCCAGGGGAGCAAACGGGAUUAGAUACCCCGGUAGUC
RNAcentral lists this ribosomal RNA (465 nucleotides) under uncultured bacterium. Its description in RNAcentral is "partial 16S ribosomal RNA". It matches the Rfam family "Bacterial small subunit ribosomal RNA", at positions 339 to 795 of the family's 1533-position model. The record is from RNAcentral.